RNAcentral lists this ribosomal RNA (406 nucleotides) under uncultured bacterium. Its description in RNAcentral is "partial 16S ribosomal RNA". It matches the Rfam family "Bacterial small subunit ribosomal RNA", at positions 30 to 526 of the family's 1533-position model. The record is from RNAcentral.
AUUGAACGCUGGCGGCAGGCCUAACACAUGCAAGUCGAACGAGUGGCGGACGGGUGAGUAAUGUCUGGGAAACUGCCUGAUGGAGGGGGAUAACUACUGGAAACGGUAGCUAAUACCGCAUACCAUCAGAUGUGCCCAGAUGGGAUUAGCUAGUUGGUGGGGUAACGGCUCACCUAGGCGACGAUCCCUAGCUGGUCUGAGAGGAUGACCGUCCACACGGGAACUGAGACACGGUCCAGACGCCUACGGAAGGCAGCAGUUGGGAAUAUUGCACAAUGGGCGCAAGCCUGAUGCAGCCAUGCCGCGUGUAUGAAGAAGGUCUUCGGAUUGUAAAGCACUUUAAGUGUGGAGGCGUUACCAGCAGAAUAAGCACCGGCUAACUUCGUGCCAGCCGCCGCGGUAAUAC